RNAcentral lists this ribosomal RNA (506 nucleotides) under uncultured bacterium. RNAcentral's name for it is "bacterial SSU rRNA". It matches the Rfam family "Bacterial small subunit ribosomal RNA", at positions 501 to 1009 of the family's 1533-position model. The record is from RNAcentral.
CUACGAGCCAGCAGCCGCGGUAAUACGGAAGGUCCAGGCGUUAUCCGGAUUUAUUGGGUUUAAAGGGAGCGUAGGCGGAUUGUUAAGUCAGCGGUUAAAGGGUGUGGCUCAACCAUACAUUGCCGUUGAAACUGGCGAUCUUGAGUGCAGACAGGGAUGCCGGAAUUCGUGGUGUAGCGGUGAAAUGCUUAGAUAUCACGAAGAACUCCGAUCGCGAAGGCAGGUGUCCGGGCUGCAACUGACGCUGAGGCUCGAAAGUGUGGGUAUCAAACAGGAUUAGAUACCCUGGUAGUCCACACAGUAAACGAUGUAUACUCGCGGUUUGCGAUAGACAGUAAGCCGCCAAGCGAAAGCAUUAAGUAUACCACCUGGGGAGUACGCCGGCAACGGUGAAACUCAAAGGAAUUGACGGGGGCCCGCACAAGCGGAGGAACAUGUGGUUUAAUUCGAUGAUACGCGAGGAACCUUACCCGGGCUUGAACUAACGGUGACGAAUCUAGAGAUAG